UUCGAAAGAAAAUGACAAAAAUGUGGUCGACGUGUUGACUAACUUGACUUUGGUGGCGAUUCUUUAUAGAAUAGCUUAAUGCACCCUUCAUGCUGUUUAGCAAGUAAAAUAAAACUAAAAAAUCUGAAUAGAAUGAUUAUGGGAGCUCAAAUAGAAUUGAGAAACCUGUGCCAAGUUUGUGAAAUGUCUGUGCUUGAGGCUGACCAGCAUUUAUCAUAUCUGAGGCCUGAACCAGCCAUCAUAACACCACAAGUUAUUACUGGUAAUAAGCUGUCAUCAGCAACAAUCUCAGCAUCAUCACUUGGACAAACAGCAUCCCUCUUGAUGGGAAAAAGAAACUACCGACGACGGCCGAGUUACCUGCAUCUUCUUCCCCCU
Molecule: long non-coding RNA, 378 nt
Organism: Daphnia pulex (common water flea)
Lineage: Eukaryota; Metazoa; Arthropoda; Branchiopoda; Diplostraca; Daphniidae
Exons: 3
Source: RefSeq, a predicted model, not a curated record